RNAcentral lists this ribosomal RNA (474 nucleotides) under uncultured Acholeplasma sp. RNAcentral describes it as "bacterial SSU rRNA". It matches the Rfam family "Bacterial small subunit ribosomal RNA", at positions 903 to 1382 of the family's 1533-position model. Lineage: Bacteria; Bacillati; Mycoplasmatota; Mollicutes; Acholeplasmatales; Acholeplasmataceae. The record is from RNAcentral.
UACAAAGGAAUUGACGGGACCCGCACAAGCGGUGGAUCAUGUUGUUUAAUUCGAUGAUACGCGAAGAACCUUACCAGGUCUUGACAUCCCCGCAAUGCUCUGGAGAUAGAGCGGAGGUAUCCGGGAGACAGGUGGUGCAUGGUUGUCGUCAGCUCGUGUCGUGAGAUGUUGGGUUAAGUCCCGCAACGAGCGCAACCCUUAUUGCUAGUUACCAUCAUUGAGUUGGGGACUCUAGCGAGACUGCCAGCGAUAAGCUGGAGGAAGGUGGGGAUGACGUCAAAUCAUCAUGCCCCUUAUGACCUGGGCUACAAACGUGAUACAAUGGCUGGAACAAAGGGAGGCGAAGGGGUGACCUGGAGCGAAACCCAAAAAUACAGUCUCAGUUCGGAUUGAAGUCUGCAACUCGACUUCAUGAAGUCGGAAUCGCUAGUAAUCGCGGAUCAGAACGCCGCGGUGAAUACGUUCUCGGGGUUU